RNAcentral lists this ribosomal RNA (253 nucleotides) under uncultured bacterium. RNAcentral's name for it is "partial 16S ribosomal RNA". It matches the Rfam family "Bacterial small subunit ribosomal RNA", at positions 524 to 776 of the family's 1533-position model. The record is from RNAcentral.
UACGAAGGGAGCUAGCGUUGUUCGGAUUUACUGGGCGUAAAGGGCAUGUAGGCGGUUUUGUAAGAUAGAUGUGAAAGCCCGAGGCUCAACCUCGGAACUGCAUUUAUAACUGCAUGACUAGAGUACUGGAGAGGAAAGUGGAAUACCUAGUGUAGAGGUGAAAUUCGUAGAUAUUAGGUAGAACACCAGUGGCGAAGGCGACUUUCUGGACAGAUACUGACGCUGAGGUGCGAAAGCGUGGGGAGCGAACAGG